GAUGAACGCUAGCUACAGGCUUAACACAUGCAAGUCGAGGGGAAACGGCAUCGAAAGCUUGCUUUUGAUGGGCGUCGACCGGCGCACGGGUGAGUAACGCGUAUCCAACCUGCCCAUCACUUGGGAAUAACCUUGCGAAAGUAAGACUAAUGCCCAAUGACAUCCCACGAAGGCAUCCGAAUGGGAUUAAAGAUUUAUCGGUGAUGGAUGGGGAUGCGUCUGAUUAGCUUGUUGGCGGGGUGACGGCCCACCAAGGCAACGAUCAGUAGGGGUUCUGAGAGGAAGGUCCCCCACAUUGGAACUGAGACACGGUCCAAACGCCUACGGGAGGCAGCAGUGAGGAAUAUUGGUCAAUGGGCGAGAGCCUGAACCAGCCAAGUAGCGUGCAGGAUGACGGCCCUAUGGGUUGUAAACUGCUUUUAGAAGGGAAUAAAGUGGGUCACGUGUGACUUUUUGCAUGUACCUUAUGAAUAAGGACCGGCUAAUUCCGUG
Molecule: ribosomal RNA, 492 nt
Filed under: uncultured bacterium
Lineage: Bacteria
Description: partial 16S ribosomal RNA
Rfam family: Bacterial small subunit ribosomal RNA
Source: RNAcentral